UAUCGGAUUGAUACUAAGCCAUGCGAGUCAUUGUAGCAAUACAAGGCAUACGGCUCAGUAACGCGUAGUCAACCUAACCUAUGGACGGGAAUAACCUCGGGAAACUGAGAAUAAUGCCCGAUAGAACAUUAUGCCUGGAAUGGUUUAUGUUCCAAAUGAUUUAUCGCCGUAGGAUGGGACUGCGGCCUAUCAGUUUGUUGGUGAGGUAAUGGCCCACCAAGACUAUUACAGGUACGGGCUCUGAGAGGAGUAGCCCGGAGAUGGGUACUGAGACACGGACCCAGGCCCUAUGGGGCGCAGCAGGCGAGAAAACUUUGCAAUGUGCGAAAGCACGACAAGGUUAAUCCGAGUGGUUUCUGCUAAAGGAACCUUUUGUCAGUCCUAGAAACACUGAUGAAUAAGGGGUGGGCAAGUUCUGGUGUCAGCCGCCGCGGUAAAACCAGCACCUCAAGUGGUCAGGAUGAUUAUUGGGCCUAAAGCAUCCGUAGCCGGCUCUGUAAGUUUUCGGUUAAAUCUGUACGCUCAACGUACAGGCUGCCGGGAAUACUGCAGAGCUAGGGAGUGGGAGAGGUAGACGGUACUCGGUAGGAAGGGGUAAAAUCCUUUGAUCUAUUGAUGACCACCUGUGGCGAAGGCGGUCUACCAGAACACGUCCGACGGUGAGGGAUGAAAGCUGGGGGAGCAAACCGGAUUAGAUACCCGGGUAGUCCCAGCUGUAAACCAUGCAAACUCAGUGAUGCAUUGGCUUGUGGCCAAUGCAGUGCUGCAGGGAAGCCGUUAAGUUUGCCGCCUGGGAAGUACGUACGCAAGUAUGAAACUUAAAGGAAUUGGCGGGGGAGCACCACAAGGGGUGAAGCCUGCGGUUCAAUUGGAGUC
Molecule: ribosomal RNA, 876 nt
Filed under: uncultured archaeon
Lineage: Archaea
Description: bacterial SSU rRNA
Rfam family: Archaeal small subunit ribosomal RNA
Source: RNAcentral